UAUAUAUAUAUAUAUAUAUAUAUAUAUAUAUAGAGUGAGGCUACUAUGCUAUCGGAAGCACGGAGCUUUCCGUGCUUUCAGCUCAUUUUCGAUGUUGCGAUUUUCGAAUCGUCGAUUGGCUCCGUUAAACUUGAUCUAGAGUAUUUGGAGUACCUAGAAAAUAAAUUUUAUGAUUUUACGNGAAUCGUCGAUCGGCUCCGUUAAACUUGAUCUAGAGUAUUUGGAGUACCUAGAAAAUAAAUUUUAUUAUUUUUCGAUAUCAUUUGCCUAGUGAUCGAAUAGGCUCAAAAUCAACAAAUUUCAAUGGCCGUAGUGAGCCGUUUGCAAGUUUAACGGUGUAGAAAUAUCCAAAUCACGUGAAAUUUUGAUAGAAAAUUCUUUAUACUAUAUAAAACAAGAUCAAUAUCUUUGAUUUAAAAUUUUAAUGUCGUAUUAUUACAUUUUGUAAGAUUUUUAUUUUCAGCCGUUGAUUUUGAGCCCCUUCGUUCACUAGGCAAAUGAUAUCGUAAAAUCAUAAAAUUUAUUUUCUAGGUACUUCAAAUACUCUAGAUCAAGUUUAACGGAGCCGAUCGACGAUUCGAAAGUCGCAACAUCGAAAAUGAGCUGGAAGCACGGAAGGCUCCGUGCUUCCGAUAGCAUAGUAGCCUCACUCUAUAUAUAUAUAUAUAUGUAU
Molecule: long non-coding RNA, 673 nt
Filed under: Ananas comosus (pineapple)
Lineage: Eukaryota; Viridiplantae; Streptophyta; Magnoliopsida; Poales; Bromeliaceae
Description: long non-coding RNA (ACOM_LNC011591)
Source: RNAcentral